This 372-nucleotide ribosomal RNA is filed under the name uncultured bacterium. RNAcentral describes it as "bacterial SSU rRNA". It matches the Rfam family "Bacterial small subunit ribosomal RNA", at positions 28 to 412 of the family's 1533-position model. The record is from RNAcentral.
GACGAACGCUGGCGGCGCGUCUAAGACAUGCAAGUCGUGCGAUGGGGAGCAAUCCCUGUAGCGGCGAACGGGUGAGUAACACGUAGCUAACCUGCCCUUUGGACCGGGAUAACGGGACGAAAGUCCCGCUAAUACUGGAUACGCUCUGCGGAGGAAAGCGGGGGAUCGUAAGACCUCGCGCUGAAGGAGGGGGCUGCGGCCUAUUAGCUUGUUGGUGGGGUAACGGCCCACCAAGGCGAAGANGGGUAGCUGAUCUGAGAGGAUGAUCAGCCACACUGGGACUGAGAUACGGCCCAGACUCCUACGGGAGGCAGCAGUUAAGAAUCUGCGCAAUGGGCAAAGCCUGACGCAGCGACGCCGCGUGGAGAUGAC